AGCAUAUCAAUAAGCGGAGGAAAAGAAACUAACAAGGAUUCCCCUAGUAACGGCGAGUGAAGCGGGAUGAGCUCAAAUUUGUAAUCUGGCGGCCUCUGGUCGUCCGAGUUGUAGUCUGGAGAAGCGUUUUCCGCGUCGGACCGUGUACAAGUCCCUUGGAACAGGGCGUCGUAGAGGGUGAGAAUCCCGUCUUUGACACGGACUGCCGAUGCUUUGUGAUGCGCUCUCGAAGAGUCGAGUUGUUUGGGAAUGCAGCUCAAAACGGGUGGUAAAUUCCAUCUAAAGCUAAAUAUGGGCGAAAGACCGAUAGCGAACAAGUACCGUGAGGGAAAGAUGAAAAGCACUUUGGAAAGAGAGUUAAACAGUACGUGAAAUUGUUGAAAGGGAAACGCUUGAAGUCAGUCGCGUCUCCUGGGACUCAGCCUUGCUUCUGCUUGGUGUACUUCCUGGGACGACGGGCCAGCAUCGAUUUUGAUCGUCGGAGAAAGGCCUUGGGAACGUGGCACCUUUGGGUGUGUUAUAGCCCUUGGUCGUAUGCGACGGUUGGGAUUGAGGACCGCAGCACGCCUUUUUGGCCGGGGUUCGCCCACGUACGUGCUUAGGAUGCUGGCGUAAUGGCUUUAAGCGACCCGUCUUGAAACACGGACCAAGGAGUCUAACAUGCCUGCGAGUGUUUGGGUGGUAAACCCGGACGCGAAAUGAAAGUGAAAAGUUGGGACCUCUGUCGUGGAGGGCACCGACGCCCGGACCAGACCUUCUGUGACGGUUCCGAGGUAGAGCAUGCAUGCUGGGACCCGAAAGAUGGUGAACUAUGCUUGAGUAGGGUGAAGCCAGAGGAAACUCUGGUGGAGGCUCGUAGCGAUUCUGACGUGCAAAUCGAUCGUCGAACUUGAGUAUAGGGGCGAAAGACUAAUCGAACCAUCUAGUAGCUGGUUCCUGCCGA
Molecule: ribosomal RNA, 943 nt
Filed under: Ramaria villosa
Lineage: Eukaryota; Fungi; Basidiomycota; Agaricomycetes; Gomphales; Gomphaceae
Description: Gautieria villosa partial large subunit ribosomal RNA
Rfam family: Eukaryotic large subunit ribosomal RNA
Source: RNAcentral